CCUACGGGUGGCAGCAGUGAGGAAUAUUGGUCAAUGGGCGCGAGCCUGAACCAGCCAAGUCGCGUGAGGGAAGACGGUCCUAUGGAUUGUAAACCUCUUUUGUCGGGGGCCAAAAGACGCCACGCGUGGCGUUCCGAGAGUACCCGAAGAAAAAGCAUCGGCUAACCCCGUGCCAGCAGCCGCGGUAAUACGGAGGAUGCGAGGGUUCUCCGGUUUUAUUGGGUUAAAGGGGGGCGCCGUCGGAAGUUCAAGUCAGUGGUAAAUUUGAGAGGCAAAAGCGGUUAGAGCCGUUGAAACUGGUUUUCUGGAGUGAGUGAGCAGUAUGCGGAAUGCGUGGUGUAGCGGUGAAAUGCAGAGAUAUCACGCAGAACACCGAUUGCGAAGGCAGCAUACCGGCGCUCAACUGACGCUCAUGCACGAAAGUGUGGGUAUCGAACAGGAUUAGAUACCCUUGUAGUC
RNAcentral lists this ribosomal RNA (459 nucleotides) under uncultured bacterium. Its description in RNAcentral is "partial 16S ribosomal RNA". It matches the Rfam family "Bacterial small subunit ribosomal RNA", at positions 338 to 795 of the family's 1533-position model. The record is from RNAcentral.